RNAcentral lists this ribosomal RNA (253 nucleotides) under uncultured bacterium. RNAcentral describes it as "partial 16S ribosomal RNA". It matches the Rfam family "Bacterial small subunit ribosomal RNA", at positions 524 to 776 of the family's 1533-position model. The record is from RNAcentral.
UACGAAGGGGGCUAGCGUUGUUCGGAAUCACUGGGCGUAAAGCGCGCGUAGGCGGAUUGUUAAGUCGGGGGUGAAAUCCCGAGGCUCAACCUCGGAACUGCCUUCGAUACUGGCGAUCUUGAGUCCGGGAGAGGUGAGUGGAACUCCGAGUGUAGAGGUGAAAUUCGUAGAUAUUCGGAAGAACACCAGUGGCGAAGGCGGCUCACUGGCCCGGUACUGACGCUGAGGUGCGAAAGCGUGGGGAGCAAACAGG